RNAcentral lists this ribosomal RNA (253 nucleotides) under uncultured bacterium. Its description in RNAcentral is "partial 16S ribosomal RNA". It matches the Rfam family "Bacterial small subunit ribosomal RNA", at positions 524 to 776 of the family's 1533-position model. The record is from RNAcentral.
UACGUAGGGGCCUAGCGUUGUCUGGAAUUAUUGGGCGUAAAGAGCUCGUAGGCGGCCUGUUGCGUCCGCUGUGAAAUCCCGGGGCUUAACCCCGGGCGUGCAGUGGAUACGGGCAGGCUGGAGGCAGGCAGGGGAGAACGGAAUUCCCGGUGUAGCGGUGAAAUGCGCAGAUAUCGGGAGGAACACCGGUGGCGAAGGCGGUUCUCUGGGCCUGUACUGACGCUGAGGAGCGAAAGCGUGGGGAGCAAACAGG